Molecule: long non-coding RNA, 3456 nt
Organism: Myotis daubentonii (Daubenton's bat)
Lineage: Eukaryota; Metazoa; Chordata; Mammalia; Chiroptera; Vespertilionidae
Source: RefSeq, a predicted model, not a curated record
AUAAGACCACACCUUGAGCGCAGCCGCACUGGCGAAAACCGGAAGCUGCUUCUCGGACCGCAGAACCUGGGUGCAUCCUGGGAAUUGUGGUUCAGCCUGGGGCUCAAUGAAAGCUGUGCUGCGCGUCCAGGGACCAAGAGGAAACGCUCCACUGGCGCGCACAUAAAUUCCCUUCGUUUGUUUCCCUCCCACCGAUGAGGAAAGCGGUUUAGAUCAGAAGAAUCGGGGCCUUCCUAGUUGGGGGACGCUUUUCCCAGUCUCUGUGGAUACGGGUCACACACACCUUGGGCAGAAGCCAAAAUUUAGGGGUUUAAGCGAGAUCGAGUGUUUCUGCCAACGGCCAAUAUAUUGUUAGACGUCGUCUCUGAAAGCUUCGGAAAUAAAUCCGAAAGCAUUAGCCGAAUCUUUCCCAAAACAAAAGCGUUUGCCUGUUAAAUACUGUGUCCAUUUACCCAAAAUGAGUGAUUUUUUUUCUACAUGUGAGCUUUUAAUUGAGCUCUAACUUAGAAAACAAGAGCAGGUUUGGUUACGUACUUAUUCUGGAAGAAAAGGAAGUACAGUAUAGGAGCUGGCAUAGAAAAAUGUUUUCACAUUCAGUUCUAAGAGGAAUUUAUCAUACUCUGAAGAGGUCAUUGUCUUAAAUGUCAACACUCUUGCUAUUGACUAAAUGAAAUCCGUAGCUUUCAAGAACAUCUAUGCCCAUGGCUGUGCUUCCAUUGGACCACAGCAACAGAAAACAAAGGAUGCCCGAAGAAGCUUCACAGAAAAAGCUUCAUAUCAGUAUAAGACCUUGAGUCUGAUAUGCGCGGAAAAAAUAAAAAUGGAGAACUCUUCAACUUGGAAAUGUAAAUUCUAAGAAGUUAUUAAAGUUACUAAAAUCACACCAAAAAACAUGAAUAAUAUGGUCUUCACACAGGUAUUUGAGAGCUAAAGGCCACCCAGGUAAAAACAAACUUUUGAGAUUGAAAUCAAGGAAGACAUACACCUCCAUAACAAUCAGAAACAGAAUACAGUGCCUUUGAAUAGAAAACUUGAUCCAGUAUGCAAACUCACAUAGGGCAAAAAUGAGAACAAGAACCUGAGGCUUAAUAAGAGGUCUACUAAAGGAAGUGGAGCACCUUGGUGCUACAUCUUCUGCAGCACCAAGGAAAAAGUCCCUUUCACCCUGCUCCCCAUACUAGCCACCAGUGACCCAACAGUGCUCUGUGGCACAGCUAGUCUGAUGUAGUCACCUCCACAAUUAUCAGAUGUUGACAAGGCGAACGCAUCACUGGGUGAGUAACAUUCAUAAUCCAGUUGCAGAUAUCCCCGAAUGAGACUUCAGCGACACUACAAUAUUUUGCUGAAAUGAUGAUAUUGGACUUGGUCUAGGGACAGACUUAUCCUCCAUUGUGAUAUGCAAGCCAAUAGCCAAUGAGAAUUGGAGAUAUAUCUAAAGCAGCAAUUUUCAACAGUUACGCCAGAAGUAUUAUUAAAACAUGCAAUACCUGACUUUGGCAAGUCACUUUGGAGCAAAAAGGACAGCUCUUGGGACAUACAAAGCUGGAAGGUGGGCUGCACUUUGGCGAUUCCUGAUAUAGAGCAUGACAGGAUGGGGUCCUCCCAUGGUUCUCAGGGAUGUCAGCAUGAUCAACAUGUGAUUACUUCUUAACAUGCUCCCCCUGGGGCUGAUUCUGCUGCGGUGGCUCUAACCUCCACUCCUACCUCCAUUGACUAUCACUGCCGCAGCACAAUAAACAAUACAGGACUGUCAUCAUCCCUUCGCCAUUUUCAUUCCAAGUACUGCAAGCACUACCUACCAUUUCUGAGUGCUUGCUUUCAUUCUAUGCUCUCCUAACUAGCGUAGAAUCAUUAGCUCAUUUAUAGUUUACCAUAAUCUUGUGAAGCUGGCAGUAUUAUUUUCAUCGAAGAGCUGAGAAAACUGAGACCUAGAAAAAUGAAAUUCCAUUCUGGAGCCAAAGAGUUGGGACCCAAGCAUGAGGCCGCCCCGCUGACUUCAUGGUCUGCUUUAGCACCAGGACAGGGCACGGAGGUGCACAACUUUCUCAGAUUGAGGGUCUGGUCCUUUGGAUCAGGGACUCACACGAGGCUUCCAGGGCUGGCGCUCGAUAAGCCCAAUGUUUAUGAUUUCAAAACCACAUACAAUCAGAUGUACAAUGGUCUCCUUAGGAAAGACAAAGAACUCUGUAUGCAGAAUGGCAUUUUGCACAUGUGGGACAGAAGUAAGAGAAUCAAGCUCCAGUCAGAAAGGUUCCCGAACUGCAAACGUCUGCUCGACCUGAUCCUCACCCGUGAGCUGUGCCAGGACCUUCGGCACAUGGAGGACAUGGAGAACGAGAUGGCCAGCUGCUGCAGGAGUUCCAGGAGAAGGGCCAGCGGCCAGGGCCUGAAACCGCCGUCUUGCGCGUCCUCUUGUUACUGCUUGUUCCUUCCUGACCCUUUUUCUGACUCUGAGGGCUGCAGCCGGUGGAGCCCGCCCCCUACAUUUCUACAUCUAUGUAAAUUCCUUUUUGAUAUGUAGGCUAUUCAUCGGAAUCUUUCUUCUUAAUGCAUAAAAGAAAUGGCAAACUUACUUUCCACAGCAUUGGUGAUCUUGCUUCCCAGCAAUUGUCAUCAGCUUAGGUCAAAUAAAUUCUUAUAAAAAUUUCCUACAAGUUUGCAUAUUUCUUACAUAAAUAUUUCCUUGGUGCAGUUAACAAGACUCUGAAUGUUGCCCUAGCCGGUUUGGCUCAGUGGCUAGAGCAUCAGCCUUGAAGUAUCCCAAAUUUUAUUCCGGUCAAGGGCUUGAUCCCUGGCCCUGGGUAGGGUGCAUAUAGGAGGCAACCAAUCGAUGUAUAACUCUCACAUUGGUGUUUCUCUCUCUUUCUGUCUCUCCUCCUCCCUUCCACUCUCUAAAAAUCAAUAGGAAAAUAUCCUCCAGUGAGGAUUAAAAACAACCAAAAAGACUUUGUACGUUACUGGAAAGGGAAACUGACCCUUGGCAGGUCUGCCUAGCGCCAGUUGGUAGUAUGUGGGUUCUUGACUUUGUGCAGGAAAUAUUUCACAACACGAGUCCAGAUGAAUUUUAGAGGACGUUUAUUAAAACUGGGAACCGAAACAAUAAACAACUGGGGAAAUGAGCCUAGGCUGGUCUGCUUUGGCUCACUAAGAAGUCAGAGAACCCCACCUAGCAUGGCUCAGUGGUUGACGGUCCACCUAUAAACCAGGAGGUCACAGUUGAUUCCCGGUCAGGGCACAUAACUGGGUUGUGGACUUGACCCCCAGUGUGGGGCGUGCAAGAGGCAGCCGAUCAAUGAUUCUCAUUAUUGAUGUUUCUAUCUCUCUUUCCCUCUCCCUUCCUCUCUGGAACUAAUAAAAAUAUUUUUAAAAAGAAAGAUUUUAAAAAGUCAGAGAAAAGGGGCUUUAGGUGACUUAGGGAGUUUGCCCGGGAUGAACUGCUGCUGCCCAUUGCUCCUC